Long non-coding RNA from Monomorium pharaonis (pharaoh ant), 13670 nucleotides. RefSeq lists it as uncharacterized. The transcript is spliced from 2 exons. The record is from RefSeq and is a predicted model, not a curated record. Lineage: Eukaryota; Metazoa; Arthropoda; Insecta; Hymenoptera; Formicidae.
CAGAGAGAAGAAAGAGUGGUAAUGAUUAUUAUUAUUAUUUCAUGCUUAAAUGAGAAAAUCGUCAGCUACAAUGAAUACCUGCGUGCUCUGAAAAGAAUCUUCCUCUCUAUCUUUUCUAUAGAAAUCUCUAGAAUAGCACGGGCAUUCGAGACCUCAAUGUUUAAAUACGCUUUUUAAUUACUUCACGGUUACGUACUUUGCCAUAAAAAAUAUAACAAUGGAAAUUUUUUUUAUUUAGCCUUAAAAUGGUUUUAAUAUUUUCAUGAAAUGGUGGGAUCCAUUUCUUUUUAAUACUAAUAUAAAAGAUAAAAUAUUAUACGUAUCAUUCUAGAUUUAAUUUCUGAUAACCGCAUAAUUUCAAAUGUCUACGAGAAUUUUCUGGAAAUUAAUUAGCGCGAUAAUUAGCAGUAAAAAAAUAUUUAAAAAUUAAUAAUAAAUGUUAGUGGAAGGGCCUGUCAAAUAUUCGCUCUAGAUGACUCGAAUUAAAAUAGUUUAUUGAAAUAAUUUGAAGCGUAUAAUAUCUUUAUGUACAUACGUCUUGAAUAUUAUAGGAACAGAGGCAUAUACACGUUUCAAAAGAGGUACAUACGUGGACUACUAUAUUAUUUCUUGAGAACUCAAGAAGAAAGAAAGCGUCUUGAGGGGAAAUAAGCAGUAUUUGCCGAGUCGAACGGGACGAUUCCCCCUUAUAUGACAUUUCAGCUGCUCUCUCUUCUCGAGUUCUCGAGGAAUUCUCGAGAAGAGCGUCUCGAAUAUAUAAGCAUUCACACACGUGUCACACGUGUAUGUGUAUGUAUGCGCACGAAACAACGAUCGAGAUCGAUUAAUACGUAAAUCUCGCACGCACAGGUUGGGAAAUUCAUUGUAAUCCUCUGCAGGCAGAGACCUUAAUCUCUUCCCAAGAAUGAUGGAAGAUGCGGAGAAGCUGCCGUGGGUUUGCCCGCCAAUAUGGAUUCCGCUCUCGCGCGAUCGGAGCCCUUAAGCACUUCGGCAACUCGUUUUGGCCACCCUUUGAAUGACAAUAACCCCUCCGCCAAUAUAAAGGGGAAAAAAGAAGAAAACGUGGUUGCGGACAACGGGGAUAAGAAAUUGAGAGAGUAAAUGUUGUCAAACGCGCGUAAUAUCGAUUACAGAUCACUCUUCCGAAAACCGCUGGAUUUAUAAGGAUUCCAUAAGAUUUUCGAUUGUGUCGAAAUUCGAAGUAAGCAAAUUUUAUUUGCUUUUCGUUGAAAGAUCGCGGUACUCGUAGGCCAAUGGAGAAUUUUAUUUCUUUGCAUUUUACAAAUAUAUUAUUUUUCUUAUGCAUCGCGUAUUCACAUUAAUCUUACUGAUUGUAUUUACCAAUUGGCUUUUAUUAAUGUAAUUUCAAUUUGUCCAUUUUCGUUAGUUUCAAAUCAGGAACAUUAUAGAAUCACAUUUGUGGCGUAUGAUACGCGAUUUGCUUAGACCGUAAUCUAUGGUUGUGUACUUUUCGAAAUAGCAAUGAUGGUAAGUAAAAUAACGGGUUUUCUCAGUUACAUCUUGAUAGAUACGUACUUCUGAUAAAUAGGAUACGACUCGCAUUAAUUCAGUGCCUUGAAACCGUGGUGUUGUGUAAUCAAUGUCAUUCUGUGGCUUAGAGAUAAAACAUUUGACGUCCUACAUUUGAUCUAGGACACUUCCCUCCUCCCUUUUCUCCUCCUUCUUCCGAACCACAAAAUGACAUUGACGAUUCUAAUCCAAGGUAUUAAGACAUUCUCGGUCCGCUAUUCGCAGUCAGAAAGUUGCUUCUAAAGUUAGCGAAUCGCUACUUUUUCAAAUAACUGGACACCGGAUAAACCAAGCAGAAAAGAGACUUAAAGACUAAAAAAGGAUGCGGGAAGAACAAACAUGGAUUGACAUUCCGCUGAGUACAAAAACAACACGGGAGGCGGAGACGUGCAUCGAUGUCAGUAGUGCGCGCGUACACGAAAGUCAUAACUCGUGGGACUCAUGAAUAAACGCGCGACAUAACGAGUCUUUUCCCGUGGGAAUUUUAUACGAGACGAGAAUAUAUCGUGAGAGAUCACGAUGGCCAAGAGAGAAAGAGAAAAGUAUACAAAGAGAGAGAGAGAGAGAGAGAGAGAAAGAGAAAGAGAGAGGGAGAAAGAGAGAGAAAGAAAGAGAUACACAUGCACGAUGUAUGCACUUCGUAUUUGGCCUUUAAAAUAACCGCUAGGGACGGUCCACGCGGGGAAUAACAAGAGUGAGAGUGGGAGAGGACUCUUCUACGUGAUCCUCGAAGAGUAGCAUUAUCCCGCCGGCCGGCGCCGCGAUAGGAUCUGAAACGGCGCGAGCGAGAGGACGAGGUCGACGAGUGCAACAACGUUGUUGCACGCGCGCAUUGCAUACGUAGGUAAGGUGCAUGCAUCUUACUUCCGGCGGAGAAAAAAAAAAGGAUCGAUCGAUCUAUCUUUCUCUCCUCCUCCUCCUCUCUCUUUCCUCCCUCGUUGUUGACGGGGGUCUCGCGGGGUCAAUCGGAGCACAAUUUCCGCCUGCUCUCAUCCUCUCCUCGCGGCUAAAUUGCCCUAAUCUCGCGAUCGAGCCGCGAACGCGCCAGGCUGAUCCACCCCGGAAAUUUCUAAAUAUAUUAGGAUCAGGAUUUCCGAGAAUGCGUCAAGAGGCGUAUUCUCGAAGAACCCUGAGCGAACUUCUAAACUCUAUUCGAACAACUUCAAAUUAAACGUAUUUUAUGCUUUUUCUAACUUUACAAGAAAUUGUCUGGCUUUCACAAAUUACAUACAUAAAAUAUGACGUAUAUUUUAGACAAUAAUAUCUAUAAGAUAAAAUUAAGAAUUUGAAAAUGAUUUAUGGAUGUUCAAAAUUAACAGUUUAUUUGUUCGACCAGAUAUUGGAUAUUUUUUAAGUAAGAAUUCUAUUGCUUUAAAUUUUCUUUCUUAUAAUUUAAGUUCUAAACCUCACUUUGUGAAAAAUUAGUUGUUACUUCUAAUUUUGAAAUUAUAAUAUUGAAAUCGGAGAUUUAUCCCGAGAUCAAAGUACACCUACCCAUAUAUCUAUCUUGUCGCUUCGUACCUUCUCCGUUCGACCUCUUGCAUCUCAGAAGAUUCAGUUUAAGUUCCACAUAGUCACCUAUUCUAUUCCAUUCUAUUCUAAUGCAUUCCCUCUCUCGGGUAAAACUUCCGCUCUCUCCGGAGUACUCGUCGUGUAAACGAGUACGUUUCGGCGCAAGUAGUGAAUACGAACAGGAGUAGGAGGAGGAGGAGGAGGAGGAGACAAGAGCCGUGACGCGACUCGGCCGCGAUGAAUGAUUUAUCGCCCGCUCGUGGAUUAUCCGCCGCGCAUAAAUUACACAUACUCCCCUCGAAACGAGUGCGUGCGCGCGGCGACACGGCGGAAAUGCGAAACGCGGUAACGGUAUCGCCGGAAACCGUGGCGCGAAUCGUGGCCACGACCCAGGCGGAGGAAGUGUCGGGGACACAUGAACACCGACACGAGAAACAGAGACGAAAGCGCACACAGAUGUGCAUUCCGCCCGUUGCCGCCGCCGCCACGCUCGUAAGCAGAUUACACCCGCGUGACUGUGUCGCUGUCUAAUUGCCCGCGUCGACUUAAAUUCCAAACCGAUAAGCACUCCCGUCGCAGGGAGGAGCAAACGUCAGUUGGCCCGCGCGAGAUUUCGGCAAUGAACGUUUAGUUAACGAGCGAUACUUCCUAACUGAAGGUAACGUGAAGUUUGUUCGGGCUCUGUUUGAGAUAGAAUCUGUGUUCUUGUUUGCUCGCGCACACAAUGAGAAGCCUGGAAACGAAACGCGAUACACACAUUCGUGCCCGUAUUUUCUUACUUAAUAUUAGCAUUAAACGGAGGAAAGUUUAAAUGAUUUUAAUGGAGAUGCCAAUAUUAUAUACGGAAUGUUUUCGAUUACCUGAAAUAUCUUUGUUACCUUUGUGCAGAAAGCAGAAGAAAUAUCCUCGGAACGAGAUUCUUCCGAUUCGAUGGGAAGAAGGAACAUUUUGAUGACACUUGCCUUUUGCCCGCGAUCGCAAAAGGAUUCUGGACCCGAGUCGACUUUUCCAUAGUUGUUGGCGAGGCACUUAUCGACUUUUAACUCGUCGGUUUUUUCACCAAGUACGUAAGCCACCCGAUAUUACGCGACUCCGGGUCGGGCGACGUUAGCGGGCGGCGUACGCAAAGCAAGAACAGUUACGGCGAUAAAUGUCGAAGCACGCCGCCGGGUGUGUUUUAUUUCCGCGCUCCCGCAAUAUGGAAAUUCUCAAUUUUCGCCCAACACCGCGUAAUUUCCGUCUUACGCUUUUCCUCGGCGGUAUGACCGCUGCGAUUCCGUCGAUUCGCGAUAUUCCGAGAAAGGGAGCGCGCCGAUUUCCAGCAGCAAAAAAUAUGUACAUUUCGUCCCACGAUAAUCGAUGAAUUGAAUUUUCCUUAAUGAAAUAAAGAUUAAAUAUUAAGCUCUCGCUUGAAUCCCGAUAAAACCUUUUCUCCUCCUACUGUAAUAUUUUAAUAUUAAUACACGUAUUGUAAUAUUUUAAGUUCGUUGCAGCAUGAAAGUUCUGACCAUCUUUUAAAUCGAUACUCUUUCAAGCUGACCUCGCCCGACUUUCUCGAAGCGAAACUUCACGACUCCCGCCGCGGAAAGAGAUGACACUUCGUGUCGAAGGAUUGAGUCGGAAAUGUCACCGCACUCGGGAUUUGCGAGAAUGCGCGUACAACGAUCCGGAAGUUCCGUUCGGGAAAAUCUUUACAAGCGGCGGUCGGGCCGCGUGAGAGCAAAAGGAUCGAGCAAAAACCAAAACACGAGAGUAACUCUCUCUCUCUCUCUCUCUCUCUCUUUCUCUGUGCUAAAAGUUCGCCGGUGUGCAUUUCCGGCGCGGCAGAGUUUCGCAAUUCGCUUUCAGAGGUAAUCAGCGAGAUUCCGAUUGAGUGUCGAGGCCAGACUUUCGGGGUAAAUAAGAGUUAAUCGAGGACUUUGCAAUUUAUUCAUUGACACCUUUCGUGUAAAAUCACGCCGGAAUUAAAAAUGCUUUCGUGCUCUAUGUCAGAGAUAAGUGUAAAUUAAAUUACUUCGAACUCGUUUAAGAGUUAGCUGAUAAAAAUCAACCCUGUUAUGUAUCCUUACUCUAAAUUAAAUAUAUAUGAAUUAAAUGUACCGCGAUUAAUUUUCUAACCCGUUGCACUUGAAUUCAGACCAAAUUAAACUGCUAUUGUCGUCAAGAAUCCCGCAUCUUCGUGUAAUAGCUUGCUUCUUGCGCCGCUGUGCGUCGCACAAAAUUCCACGAGAUGGAAUAUCGCUUAAACAUACCUCUGUAAGUGCGAUUUAAUCGGAUUCGAACAUUCGACGAAAAACCGUCACGUCGCGUCGUUCCGCCUGGCGGCCGGAGUCAAGGAAUUAACUUGAAAGGAUUUAGCGAGUCUAGAGACCAGGUUAAAUCGCAGGAGGAUCCUCAUCCUUCCUUCCCACGCGAGAAAGGGGGUCGGCAAAACACGUCGCACGUCCACGAGGAUCGCGGCAACGCGGUCGGCAGAGAAAACUGCAUCUCGCCUGCGCGGUGCGCCUCGACCGUCCCGGCCAGAAUGCCAGGGACUGGACACGGCUAUUAUUACCAAUUGCGCGUAACAGCUAAUUACCCGUAAUUAUACUGGGGAUAUCAAGCUUUGAGGAUAACGGCCCGGUUCGUUCCCGUCGUCCGAGGGAGAUUGCGGCACGACGGUCGGACGGCCGGUCGCGAUAUUUACUGACCACUAUAUGCCUCUACGUCGUCAUUGCUCGUCAUCGCAUUCCCCGCUUUUGACGAAGAGAGGAAGGGGGAAGGGGGAAAACUUCUUUGACGAUCACGAGAUGCGCGAUCGCAAUUAGGACGGCACGUGAGCGACCGAACGUGGAAAGCGGCGGUUUUUAUCUUACAAAACGGACGGCAAUUCCGCGUAAUGAACAUCGAAGAUUGCACUUGAUGAGCCAGUUAUUUUGACGAUUUUGCAUCGAUACAACAGUGGCAGAAGUCGAUUAGUCACGGCAUAUUUUCUAUUGGUCUCGCGCACAGAGGUAGGUAGGUAGAUAGAUUUUAUAAAUAAAGUGAAAAUAUACUUCUUAGCGGAAGACAAGAGGUCAGGAGCAUUUAUUUUAAGAUAAAAGCAACGAAGGUAGAGGUACAUUAUGCAUUUCACAUGAACAAUCUUCUGCUUUUAGUGCGUAGCAUUUUGCUUCGUACUUUCAAGUGUUUGUUUAUUCAUUGUCAAAGAAGGUAACAAAGAAAUUUAUAAUUCAUACAUCUACAUUUUUGCAAAGUAAAAGUAACAUAUCUUUUCAACGAAUUUUUCGUUGACACCUAGCUUGAGGUAAAUGUUAGCAUUUUAAGCAAACGUAUAAUGCCACUGCUUAUAUUUCUCACAUCAUUCACUUCGAUGAAUAGACGAACGAAGGAAUUAUUCGUUUCGUUUUAUUCGCGUAACACAAUACCUACUACAUUCGCCUGGUAGCCUCAUCAGGACACGUGCUAGCCUCCCCCCACGGAAGUAUAAUAUCUCACGGCGUCGUAUAUGCUGACGUGACAUAAAUCUCUCGCGUGGGUCAUUCGGCUGUCUUAAGCCCCGGAAGCGAAGUGAGCGUUCCGUAAUUAUACGAGGAGAAAAUAGUGCCCUUUUUUUUCUCCCCUUAAUGGAAUUACUACAGAGGCGAAACUUCGGGGGGCUUACGUGACGUUAUCGACGAAUGAAACGGGCGGUCUCGGCGAACUACGGCCAUUAAUUAGGAGCUCAGGAUGUAUCGACAGACCUGCCAGAACUCGUACUCGCGCGCGAGGUGCGAAGUAAUUUUUCACACCAGAAAACUACUUCUCGCAUUUUAUUCGCACGAACGGCCACCUGCAAUUUUCACAAAUCAGAAGCGUACCGUCGCGUAUCACGGCAUGGGAAUCGCAUUCUGCUUUUCGACACUCUCAUAUUUUAUAAUAAACUAAGGCUAAGAGGUAUCAAAAAAUUUCUAAUUAUUUCAUAGCGAUUCUCUAAAAAGAUUAGAUUUUUUGUGUUUAAUACUAUCAGUAUAAUAAUUAUAUCAAAAGAAUAUUUAAAAAAUAAUAAAAAAUUAAACUUUCUCUCAAUAUAAAAUAUUUCUCCUAGCCAAGUUCCACUGAAAAAAAAAAAAAUCAAAUUACUAAGAGACAAAUCGUGUAAUAUUUUUACAUGUACAAUUAGCUAAACUAUAAACAUGAUAUAUAACGAAAGAAUGGAACAGAGAGUGGAAGACGAUAAAUUUCAACGUGAAAUUCUGAUAUCCUCGGGGGGAGCUUAGCACGACGUCCGCUUGUACAAAGGAUUAAAGGUGUUAACCUCGCGUACAGGGCGAUUAGGGCCACCGAGAAGUGUAUAUCGCCCGCGGGCGAUACGGCAGGGGACGAACCGGCGUUUUAACGCGACGCGGAAAUAUUCAGUGAGAAGAGUACUAAAAGCCGUGGAGUAAGAGAGAGAGAAAGAGAGUAUGUGUGUGUAUGUGUGUGUGUGAAAAGCCCUUGUGCAAUACAAGGGCAAAUAUCGUUGCUUCGGUGAUAUCCAGCCAAGUUUCGUCGCUUUUGAUAUUGCGACCGAGGAAAUUUGCUAACUUGCAAACUGCCGCGACGGCGAUAGACCUCGUUUCGUCAAGCAUGCACUGUACAGCAACCGUACAGACGACGGUCUAUCCAGCCCGAUGAAUACGUCCUCGUAAAAGGCAUCGAGAUACUCGGCAACGAGUUAGUCAACGUUGUGCUUGCAUAUGUGCCGCUGCGUCGGCAUGCUGCGAUAAUAAUUGACAUCGCGAUAGCGUGUGCGAUACGUGACCUUCAAGUUAGUUACUCAUAUCAUUAAAAGAUAAUAAUAAAUGGAAAAGAUAGAGAAUCACGAAAUGCCAAUUAUUUAUUUUUCUUCUGUGUAUUAUUAACUGCAACGACUCUCAAUUAAAUUGCUUUCUCGACAAGUUCUUAGUUACGGAUAGCUUGAUUUUGAUGAUUAACGUUUUUGCGAGCACAUUAUUCUUUUUCGCUGACAAAUAAUUUUUCGAAACUACGUCAAUGCCAAAUAAAUAACUCACGAAGUUGCAAGUGGAACACAUGUGUCUCGCAGAUCAACGAGAGAGAGAGAGAGAGAGAGAGAGAGAGAGAGAGUUAAAUAAGGCAUAAUUACCGUGAGAAGAAUCUAAACUUGCACCAGAUUCGCGAUACAACCAGAUGCCGGAAGGCAGCAGCGGGGGGUCACGGCCCUCGUGCUCUUCACAGGUCAGACGCACACUCGGAAGCUGUAAAUCGCAUUUCGCUCGAGUCUGCGAGGCUUGGAUUUAUUUUCGCGGAACACGCCCACGCAGCACGCGCCCGUACAGCAUUGUGAAGAAAUUACGGCGGUCUCUCGCGAGGAGUCAAGCGAGCAUCUUUACGACGCGUGUUGAAAUUCGUCGAUGUGAAUGGCUGAUAGAAGAGUUCCCAUCCGUUCGUUUCCACAGAAAGGAAUUUGAGAAGCACAUCGAAAGAUCCAUCGAAAGAGAUUUGAUGUAAUAAUUUUCGAAAAAAAAAAAUAUGUAUUAUGAGAAAAGACAGUAAAUUUAAUUACACGAUAGCAAUAAAUAACGCGAAUUUGCCCAGUCAUGACGUUUUGAUUAUUACACCUCCCUUAGCUAUCCUCGAUGUCACUAAAAAUAAUAAAUAUCUGUCUAACCACACAUUCUUCUGAACAGUUCUCCAUUGUCAUAUAAAUGAAACGUCAAUCACCGCCAUAAAACCAUUUAAAAGUUUUCCAGAAUUUUAUAGACUUUUCCGCAUCUAUCGCAGUAUGCUCUUCUCACUUCCCACAUGUUUGGGAGAUUGUUAGUCGACUUCUCUCCUAGGGGCAAGAAGAAGCCUCCUUCCCGCGAGUCGCCCGCUCGCUUGGGACUCACGUGCUCUUUUGCCGCACAUGACGUUGGCCGCAUACACGCGAUUGCCCAAUGCUUAUAAUGCGACUCCGGCGAACGGGGCAAUUUGCGGUAAAUCACUUCCCUCGAAUCUCUUUCUCUCCUCCCUCUUUUCCAUCCGCCGCCGCUCUCUCCCUUUCUCUCGUUCUCACUCUCGCCACUCUACACAUGCACUUCGUACGGUUAUGCAUCCUCUUCUUUCCCCCCGUCCAUUUAUCUUGCUCCAUGCCAAUUUCAUGUAUUCAGGAUUUAUACAGUUCGUUACUUUCACUUAUUGUUAGUCACUUCACUUCUGUUGCUGCUGCUUUUUCUCAUUACUUUUACAUAAAACAGUCCUGCAUUUAAUCUAUGAAUCACCUCUGCGUAUGCACAUUUUUUAUCUUCUCUUCAGAGUAGAUCAAUGAUCGAAGAACGAUUGUGGUAAAAGUAGGAUAACGGUUGGCACACGAUGACAAGCGGCGUUCAUUAAAUGGUUAGGCAUGCAGAAAUUAGAUUGCGCUACUUUAUGAAGAGUCGUACCGUAACUCCCGCUACUGCUACUGUUAUAACUCCACUAAGUGAUCCGAAAACUCAACAAAAAUCACUAACGCAACUUAUUAAUGUAUGCAAAAUUUUGUAACAAUUAAAUCACAGUCGAGAAAUGUGAUCAUGGCAAUCAACUUUUAUGUAUAAGUAUUAGACAACUUUAGUGUAAGAAAGAUAUAAUUUAUGUUUUAUUAGAUUUGUCUUUCGCGUUCGUAUAUUUACGUCAUCUCCCAAUUAAUAGUAGGUUUCGGUUUCUUACGAUUCAACUUAUCCAGAUGCAACUUCGUAACUCGACACGAUCAUUAACUCUUGGAUUUCUCGGUCGUCCUCCUUGCCGCAACUGCAAAGCUCUGCAUUCAACUUCUACACCCGGUUCUCGCGGGGGGAAUUUCAUUCCGGGUCAUUUAAUAUCACCCUGUUUCUUCCCUUUUGUCCUCCUCUUUCUCCUCCUCUCUACCUCGUUCUUUCACAAUCGCGCUUGUGGUCUGACACACCUCUUACGUAACAGUCUCGUUUGCACAUCCCGGUAGAGGAAUGAAUCGCAUGAUAUAUAUAUAUAUAUACAUAUACUUGCAUACACCUCUCUGUCAGUAAAUAUGCAUAAAACACACACACGUGUGCGUAGCACAUGAGAGCGCCAACCUGCUCUCUCGUUCAAUGACCGUACACGGUAACCUUUUGAUUCACUCGAUGGCACGUGACCGACGAUGGCUCGUUGCCGACGAAAUAUCUCCUUCGCUUCGUCAUCGACUUCUUCUUCCUUCAUCGGCGUUUACUAGAUAUGCUCAUUACGAGACGUGUUAUAUCGCGUUACGCUAUGGAUACAUACGAUCGAGCGCAUCGUGUUCGGUAAUUAUGAGUAAUAGCCGGUAAUACGCGGGUCUCAUAGAUUGCUCAUAGAUUGCUGCGCCUGCAGCGCAGGGUGGCCCAAAACCAUCACGUAUCUCAUUUAAUCACGGAGGAUAAAUGAGCGGACUGCAAAAGAGGACGGUUAUUUUAUACAUUAAAUGGCGAUAAGAUACUGAGGGAGAAAUUAUUCAACAAUUUGCGAGAAUUAAAGAAUUUUUUCGAGCUGUUUAAGUAUCGAGAGAGUAAUUCAUUAAAAUCGAAAUAAUAAAAUCUUCGGUCGAAUAUUUAACUGGGUCUCAUCUCAAAUUCAGCUACCCAAGCUCUUUAACACAAAGUAAUUUUCUCGACAAAUUAAUUGAUUUCGUUAAGGGAGAAUUUUAAAUCAGUUAGCCAAUCCUUGACUAAAAUUAAAAAAAAAAAAAAAAAGAGAAACAUUCAGAAGCUCCGAGACCCCGUAUAGAUCCAUGGGUUUAUACGACUCCUUCUCUCUAUCGCGAAGCUUUCUCAUCCUCGGAGGCGAUAUACGGGGGCCAUUAUGAGCCGCGGGGGCAUCGAUCAUACCUCUCGGUAUCGAUCGUUGAACCUGUCCGAGGAAAAGCUCGCGGCCGCGAGAGAGGCACGUGCGCUGAUUUACGUCGUGGGACCCAGGCACGUGCCACGCUGGUAGACAUAGUAAUCUGUCCCCCUCGUUCUCCUCCCUCUCUCCCCUCUCUUCUCAUUCUUUUCUCCUUUAUCCGCGCUCCUCUUUCUCUCACUAUUCUUUUCGUCGUAUUCUUCUCUUUUCCCGCGGCGCCGAUAAAAAAUGCAUAAAGAGGUUUUCUCCCUCCGGUAUUUGUCAUCACAAUUUUAUGAUGCUACGAUUUGAUACGCGUAUAACAGCUAAAUAGAAAGCAGCUAAAUAGAAAAGCUAUGAAUAUAAAUAAUAAUUUGUUAUAAAUAUCUUCGGCUUAUUAACAUUCCACUGGGAGGUUUUACAAAAACUUGACGUUUUAUUACUCGUGAUAUAUGUGCGAUUGCAAGAAAGAAAAAUUAUACUUUUCGCAAUUUGUUAGAUGUGUGACGAGUAUCUUAUUCAGGAAUCUGUGACGGAAACGUGAUACUCGUUGAAUUUUAACGACAGACGUCCCGCUUAAGUUAACCAUGUUUAAAUUAUUAUAAGACAAUGUUGAAAAUACUUAAGGCCGACCUCCGAUAGAGUUGUGCCUUCCGGUCACCUCGUAGAUUUAUAACAGUAACAACAUCGGAGGAAGUUACGGUAUGACUUCGCGAAGUAGCGCAAUCUAAUUUCAGCACCUAACUUUCUAAUGAACGUCACUCGUCAUUGUCGUCGUGCGCCGAACCGUUAUUCUACUUCUACUUUGUAAUCAUGCAAACGUCACUCCGUUCCCCUGCGCUCGACCGAUUGCCAUACAAAGUCAGCGAAUUGCACGGCAUGCGCGCGCGCACACACUCACACACACACACACACACACACACACACACACACACACACACACACACGCACGCACGCACGCACACACAUCGCUAUCACACACCACCGACCAUACCCGGGAAUUCUACCGAGCGACCAAUCCUUAUCCCCGAGACAUGACAAAUCGCCGUAAAUCAGCAUCAUUUCGGCGCCAUUAAUCACCAUUUGAUUAUUAACCAUCGCGGACGCGGCGAUAAAACACCGUUUCAUCCAUGUUGCUUCCCACGUUUCCACGGUAAAUUCGUUAUAUCUUGAACAAGCACAACCUCAUUCGUGAUAGUUUCACCCACGAUUUGUACACCCGGCGAUUCCUCGUGAUCUAUGUACAGAUGAAGUGGACGGAAUCGGGGGUAUGAUACUGCAACUUCUCGUGGGGAUAAUUUCUCGUGAUCUUGCGAAAAUUACAUUGAUUAACGGACGGCGCGGGUGACAUUGCGAUAAUAAUUAGCGUGUCGUCGAUAAGUAUACCUUUGCAGGGUAGUUUGCGGCUGGCUUUGCAGGCGACUUUUUCACUCAGACCCGAGACGGGCUCCGGUGGCUCGGAGCCACUAUCCGUUUUCGCGGGCCGAUCGGCCGUCACGCUCGUUUAAUUUACAUAAUCCCAUGGCGCGCGAGAAGAGACCGUUAGGCCGAAAGUGCCCCACGCCGCGAAAGGAUCACCGUAAGAGCGUUCGGCCGUUACGGAAUGCUAGGCAAAGAGACGAGACGGCGGAAUAAGGAUGCAAGGAAGAAUAGAGAUGGCCCGGGAAGAGUGGGAGAUGGAAGAGACUGCGAAGAGGGAAGAGAUGUGCGGGAAAAUGAAGUGGAGAAAGGACAAGAAGGAGAGAGCGUGGCUGGCCUGCGUCCGCAAAAACGCGUCCACUUUACCACCAACGGCGCAUCGACAAGCGAUUCUUCCUCACUUCCUUCCUUUCAACGGCCUUUCUUCCUUCUCCCCCUUUUUUUCCAACAAAUGAGAUUUACGACGUACAUAAGUGCGCAUCCAGGGCCGGCUUAAUCUUCUCGAAGCAUCGUAAGCUCGAUAACAUUUAAUAACAAUCGAAAAAUUAAAUUGUAUUAAUGACGCAAUUACUGAAGAAACAAUUACAAGAUAAGAUCUCAUUAAAUUAGAAAAAAAGUGUGUAAAUUACCAAAUUUUGCAAAGAAAUUACAUAUAUAUAUAUAUAUAGUUGAGAAGAUCUUCUUUUCGAUAAAGUGCUUCUUUCUCCGAACAAAAUUAUUAAACGAUUGCAAAUUGCAUUUGAAAAAUGGAGAGAAUUUUACUUGAAUUAUUCAUACGUCUUGUUGCGAUAGACGUACAUUCUGCUUUUAUUACAACCUGCACUUAAUUUAAUAUUUAUAUUUUUCUUCUCUCGUGACCUCGGUUACAGUACUUAACGCUCUGUACUCCUGUUGGAAAUAACCGUGCUAAAUUUCUUUUUUUAUUACCGUGCAAGAAUAUAAACAGUUAAGGUGGGAUAAUACUCGGAGCCGGAUAAUUCUCGGGCACUAUGAACACGACGGACAUAAGCCGUCCUUCCUUCCCAUCCGCGCCGCAGGACACGGUAUGCCAUGGUGAGGUCUCAUUAACUCAAGGACGCCGCUCGUGAACCCCCAUUAUCGACUCGCGAGCACGUCAUUACGUGCGAAUCGCGCUUUUCCCUCGCGCGCGCGCCCUGCCCGCCUUUCCGGACGGAGGAGAAUCGCGUGUCCUUUUUCCGGACGAUAAUGGAAACGUUUCUCAGGCUCGGCAUUCCUGUCCUUCGACGCAGCACGCUCGCUCGUUCGUGCGCGCGUUCAACACGCGUUUUUCCUCUCCCUCUCCUCCUCUCAUCCUGUCGACGACGAGUUACGGGCGUGUGUUGUGAGAUCGCCGUGCGUAGAAAUUAUCGCGCGCGAAAGGAAAAUAUCUCGCUCGUCCGAGUGCGGAAAGCGCUAAA